Molecule: long non-coding RNA, 552 nt
Filed under: Oncorhynchus kisutch (coho salmon)
Lineage: Eukaryota; Metazoa; Chordata; Actinopteri; Salmoniformes; Salmonidae
Description: lncRNA (ENSOKIG00005041093.1)
Source: RNAcentral
UGUUUUUUUUUUUUUUUUCAAACCGUGUGAAAAUGUUUCUUGCCCGCACCUACUCGUCCACGCGGUUAGGGUUCGGUAGUGAGAAGUGCCUACCUAGCCUAUUCAGCUGACGGUUGACAGGGCCCGCACCGUACACACGCCUCUACUGUUUUCUGACUCCUACCGAGGACUUUCCAGCUAGCUAGCCACGACUAUCUCCCUCUGACAACACUUCUAGCGCCAUGACAUCCGAACGGCAAAUAUGACAUUUUCGAGUAUUUUAUUUUAAAUGUGUCGUUGUUCAAGAGGCUAACGUUAGUUCUGUUUUGUCGUUUUAGCAGUUUCCCCGAUGGAGUCAGACGAGGACCCACAGAACGCUCGAGGAACUGAAUGAAGCCUUGGAAGGACACUCUGACAAUGCAGAAUGGUUCUGCCAACGAGCCUACGCCCAACUUCAACUGAAAAACUACAGCUGUAAGUCUCUUAUCCUAACCCCCAACAUCUUACCCAAACUUAAAGUACUGCUAUCAGUCAGACCCUAACCCCAAUCCUCCUUGCAUCUUCUUAAAGUAU